CUUUCCAAAGAAUCAGGAAACGUUUAAAAUAUUAAUUGAUUAAAUUCAGGCCCCCUAGUUGGAACUACUAUCAGUCGGGCUGCUUUAGUUCAGUAACUUCGGGCACAUCCAACCAAAGUUGGUCCCAUUUAGUUUUGGGGAGAAUCAAGCAUAUGUUUAACUUGUUCCUAUUGAAAUCAAUGGGACUGUAAUGUGCUUAACGUUGACUAAACCUCACCCCAUACUUUUUUGCUUCCUAUAUUUCUGAAAUCUACAUUCUGUCUGUGUCUUUUGUACACUGUACCAUCUCAAAAGAGGGAGGAAGAAAGUAAAUGUACCUUUAUUUGCAGUUGUUACCCUAAAGGGCACUUUUGAGGAGCUGAAGACAGCUGCGAUAGUAAUUAAUGCUUUCCGGUUCUCAUAUUUGUUAGCUCUGACUCCGUACACUAUCUUGGACAAUUUAUAAAUGUAACAAAAUCACCUUUAUGCAUCACAAGAAUAAUUUACUAUGUUUCAGUCCACUGAUCUGAACAUGCCUUGCACAAGAAAGAACCCAAAUUUAAUAUCUUUUAAAAGGCCACCUGAAGAAAUAUUUCAGUGACUAAAAAUAAAAUAAAAUCUAGGAUAACUAUUAACACUGAACUGAGGGAAACAUUGUGGCACAAAAAGCAGAAAAUCUACAAAGUUAAAUGAGGAGAUGUUUUGUCCUAAUUGUAAAUAGGGAGCAAAAUCUUUCUAGUUUAUACCGCAGACAUGUUCAGCCUCCAAACUUAAACUUGCAAACUUUGUGGACAACAAUGCAAGGAACUCUAAGAGAGAUGUUAUACAGAAGUCUUAGCUCUCUUCAAAACCGUAUCAACCAAGUAAAUUUUUUUCUUUUUCUUAAUCAGCAGCCACUUGUAGUCAAACUGUCCUUAGGAUGUAGGUACUGUGGUGUCCCCUCCAGAUGCUGUUGGACUGCAACUCCCAUCAGUCCUGAUCAUUGGCCAUGUGGAGUAGGGCUGGUUGGUUUAGUAGUCUAGCCACAGCUGGGAGGCACCAUGUUGGCUGCUCAUUGGUUACAACACAUCACAAGGCGGAAGCAAAUCUCAGGGUUCUCCUGCCUCCUUUCAUUUGUCAUUUUCCCCCAGUUAAAGCAUCUGUGUUUACAAAUUCUUCCUUGGCAUUGACACUAGAAUGGAGCUUAGAAUCCUAAAAUCAUGGAGCAGUGUGCACAUGCUGACCUAAAACCAUAGGGCUGGGGUUGCCAACAUGGCACAGAAGUGCCCUUAAGAAUAGCCAGUGGCACUCACAAAGCCUCUGAGACCCCUCCCCCACUGACUGUCCUCUUUGUCAUGAGGCGGCAUAGCUUAUUACCUCCCCCACCACCACCACUUGAAAAGCAUACAGAGGAAGGAGGAUGUUGGAAGAGCCUUAGCUCUUUCCUAUUUCUGUUUCAGCUCCAUGUGCUUCUUAAGGCUCAGGUCAACAUGUGAACAAAAAGCCGAGCAACCAAGAAGGCAGGAGGGAAAGGAGAGCCAUCUAGGAGACGGGGGCAGGAAAGGAGAAUAGCCAGAGGGGAUAAAGUGGUGCACCACAGGAGCUGGGAGAGAAAAUGCCACAGCAUGAAAGCAUGGACCCUAGGCAUGGAUACUCAUAUUUUUACACCUUUCAGAAUGUGUCCACAGCUGUGUUCUGUGAUUUGGGUGUGUUUGUUGGCAUCCUGUGUAAAAACCGCGAAGAUCUGUGCCUUCAAUGUUUUUGUAGUGCUGUGUAGUCUACCACUGUAAGCUUUCACUUCUUGACUGUGCUUUUUGUUGGGAAGGGGGUCCACAGGGUAAAUUCAUGGAAAUUCAAAAGGCCCUUUAAAAAUUCUGCUGGAACCAACUUUAACUCUGACCUGGAGAGACUGAGCCAGGGAGGGAAGGAGAGAAGCAGCCACAGAGGAUGUUGCCCACAGAACUCUCUCAAAAUCCCCAAUGUGCCUGUGGACCCAAAAAGCUUGGUGAUGCCUGCCCAUAGGGGCAAUUCUGAGCAUUGCUCCAUUUAACUCACUACUGUCUACAGCAGCUUUCCCAAAACUGGUGCCCUCCAGCUGUUGUUGAACUAUAAUUCACAUCAGUCCUCAUCGUCAGCCAUACUGGCUGGGGCUGAUGGAGAGUGGAGUCCCACAACAUUUGAAGGACACUAGGUGAGGCAAUACUGAACUGUACGGACUGGCAAUCUCCAGGGCUUCAGACAGGAUUCUUUCCCAGCCUUCGUGAAGAUGACUGGAAUGGAACCUGGGACCUUUUGCGUGCACCCAGCAUGCACUACCAGUGAGCUACAUCUCUUCCCUACACUUUAUGAUAGUUUUAUUCCUUAUUUCUCAAGUUGUCUCUGCUGCUAGAAGCUGAUAAUCUGACUCCUCUUUCUCUAAAAGUUAUGUAUGUUGUUUUUCCUCAAAGAAACCAUAUUUAUCCAGUUUCAUAGAUACCUUGAGUAUGUGGAGAGUCUAUAUAGUACCAGAAAUUUAAAGGGUCACAUUAUAUAUACCCUGGCCUGGCUUGCUGCAGCAGCAGCAUUUUGAAAUAAUGACCAUCUACAUACCUGGGGGUAAAUGGCUGCCAUCUUAAAGUCAUUCAUGAAUAAAUUCCAUUGGUCUAAAUGAGAUUUAUUCAUGGAUAAAUGAUAACUCUUGGUACUUUUUUAUUAAAAAAACAAGCAAAAAAACCAACAACCCAUGAAGUGAAUUAAGCAUCUCCAAUCUCUGCAAAUAACAUGGCACCUAAGCACAGCCUUUCCAGUUCUGCUGACCACCUAAAAGGAUUUACAUAGCACCACCAAUUCUUGGGUCUUGCUUCCUACAUUUCAAGGGAUGUUGCUAAACUAUUCAUUUGGGUACCUCCAUAAAUUGCAUUUAUGGCAUCUAGUGGUGGUGGAGGAGGAGCAUAAGAAGUUGCCUCUUCCACUAUCGUCCAGGCAGCUGGAAAAACUUGAACAUUUUCAUUUUAGUGUGGAGAACCUAACUUUGAUUGCCAGCAACGUCCACCAAAACAUUAAGUUCUAGACAGGGAUGCCAACUGAGCAGAACCCCCCCCCAAAAAAACACACAAAAAACUACUCUGGCCUGCUUGUGAACCUGUAACAGUCACCUGGUAUGCAGGAAUGAGUAGAAGUGUGAGAAGAUGAAACAUAUCGCUUAUUAAUUCUCACAUAUUAAGUUGCUACUAAAGGCACAAGUACUAGGGCUGGUACAAAAGCUGGCAACCCUAAUCCCAGAUAAUGAUUUCUACUUAAAAGUAAUGGAAUUAAAAGCUAUGAUUUACACACACACACUCUGUGGGGAUGGCUGGUAGUAGCAGAUAGCAACAGAAAACCUUGCUGAAUUUGUAUACAACUUUUUUAAUGGCAGAGCUCCUGUGCCUGUUGAUUAAUGGAAAUCCAGAAUGGGAAGUUUUCCCUUUGCUGCAGCUGCCUGCUGGGGAUACUUUACCUGCUCAAUUUAUACCUGCCUCUAUCAUUAAUGGGGCUAUUAAAGGAAGGGGUGGGGAGAGCUGACCAGGUAAGCUUCUUAUAAAUUUUCAUAUUUAUUCAGGGCCUGUAGACACCUACGUUUCUCAUGAAGUGUACACCUAAGAAACAGGUUUUGCCCCUCACUGGAGAGCCAGAGUUAAUCUCAGUGGCAAAAUUGGUUUUAUUGUUGAGUAACAGGUAAAAUGGCUCCUAGUUUCCAAAACUUGAAAGUGCUGCAUAACUAUUAAUAGUGCAAUCUUACACAUGUCUGCUAAGAAGUAAGUUGCACUGAGCUCAAUGGGACUUGAUCCCAGUUACACAUGUAUAGGAUUGCAGCCAAAAUUACCAUAUAUAUAUAUAUAUGCCAUUUUAGGCUUACGCUCCAUGCAUUUGACAAAGUGAAAUUUAGCCCAUGAAAGCUCAUGCCAUUAAAAGAAAGUUGGCCUUUAGGAUGCCACAAGAUCCUUCAUUGUUUUUGCAACUCAGUAGAGGACACUUUUGCUGUCACUGCUGGGAAAAGCUGUGCUGGUUGGGUUUUUGCCAGUUAUACAACUGUCAAAUGUACAAAGACUCCAUACUAUGGGAAAACCCUAGUGAUCAAGAUUGCCCUGCUGUCAUAUUGGAAGCAAAUGGAUAAAUUGUGCCUUUUUAAACAAUGAGAAGUAAGGUUGUACUGUUACUUUUGCAUCCAGUCCUAAACACCUUUCACCUGGGAGGGAUUUGGUUUAAAUAAAAAUUCAUUUCAAGGCUAUGCAUUUAGGAUCAUGAUGUGCUCGUGGACAGUAGUGCAAUGAUCCUGAUCUUAAUAAUCAAACUACCUAUUAUAUGCAGGCAGUGUGGUUUCUUACCCCCCACCCCGAACUUUAAAAAGAGAGAAAGAAAAGGGAAAUCAGUAAUCUUAUGGGGAGGGGGUGAAUAGAAAGGGACUAUUUAACCCUUUGCUCUCAUGACAAUUUUCCAUUCAAAAUUGCCCCACUCAAGUGUCUCUCCAACGUUAAUUAGGUAGUCUCCAUUCUUCACUAGGGAAAGAAGUCAGAGAGGUAAUUGCUUGCCCCAAGGCCAGAAUGAAGGAAGUUGAACUUGCACCUCUCAACCUUUCUGCUUUCCUGCUCAGCCCUUUUCUCCUGCUCUUCUUGGCACCUUCCAUUAAUACAUCUCUCUAGUGCCAUCUUUGCCAAUCUGGUGUUCUCCAGAUGUUUUGAACUACAGAUCUGGGCCACCACAGCCUGGGGCAGAUGGAAGCCGAAGCCUGAAUUAUCUGGAGAGCACCAGUUGGGGAAGGGUGCUCUAGGAGGAGAGGCCUUGGAAAUAGUUGGAGAAACAAAGAACCCUUGAAGAAGAAGUGCAUAUGCCCUUGGCAAUGCCGUUUGCCCCUUUAGGAACAGAAACAAGAACAGCCAAGUGCCAGUGUCCAUUCAACUUUCCUUUUUGCUAGAUUAUCAGUUAGGCUGCAGUCUUAUGCCUGCUUUCACUGGGAGUGAUCUACUUGCAUUUAACUGAGUAGGAUUUACUUCUGGCUAGGCAUGUAUACACUUAGAUUGUUAGUUCACAGAGCACCAGUUCAGGGCUGAGCAUUACCAAUCCUGUGUCUGGUUGCUAAGUGACUUGCUGUCUUAGGAGUGUGCAGGAUUGCAGCUAAACAUCUGAAUAAACACACUUUUAGUUGAUGCCUAAGGUGCUUUCUUGACUGUUUGGCCAACGUCCACCACCAGCCUCCCUCUGAGAACAAUCUAGGCCUCCCUAUGUCUCUAAUCAAAUGCAAUUUUUCUCUUCUGAGUCAUGAUGAAAAUAAUUUCUAUUCCUCUUUUUUGGAGGGAGGGGUGUUCUUAAAACCCGUCUUGUUGAAUCAAUGCAUGUAUAUAGUUUGUUUUGGGAUUUUUUAUUUUUAUUUUGAGGCCAUCAGCACUGAAUACCCUUUUCUGAAGGACAGCUCUGAUUAAAAUCAAUCUUCUACUCUUAACAUUUCAAUAUAUGCAAUUAAUGAAUUAAUGUUUUAAUUGCACUGAUGAAUGUUCUUGGCCAUGUUUAUAAAAUAUUCUUUCUCCUGGUUGACGUUUAUUCCAAUAUUAUAUCAUGCUCAUGUGUUGUUGUUUUUUUAAAAAAAGUUUAAAACAAUCAUGUGACUUAGAGAACUGCAGAUGGCUAAAGUCAACCUUCAUAGUGUAACCCUUUGUGUGCCAGCGUGUCUAUCACCACUCUAUUAAGCUCAUUUAUGUGACAGUAAAUCACGUUGCAUUCAGUGGGUUGCGCGUUCCAGCAAUGAGUUUUAGGAAGCAAGGUUUGAAGCUGAAAUUAUAAGACAAAUAGAUAUACCGAAUAUAGGAGUGUGAAAUCUACAGUCUCUCCUUUCUAUGCCAAAAUCGAGUCCUUUAUUUAAAUCAAAGCAAAACCAACAUCUACUCUUCUUGAAUAGUCUUUCCAUAAAAAUGAAAAAAUGUCAUCGGUUUUAGCGACUCUCAGAAAAGAAGGGGGGGGCAAACGCGGAGAGGCAUUCAAUGAUGAGUUUGUAUAUAUUUAUUUAUGCUUAAUUUAACGGGAUUGUGUAAAUAUGGCGAGCAAGUAGUUUUGGGGUUAUUUAUCUGUGACUAUACCUCUGUGAAUGGGUGGGGAAUUUAAACCAAGAAGAAGAAAAACGAUCAAAAAGACAAAAAAAAUUACAAACGCUUGACUCUAGAUAGUACCCAAUCUGAUCUUUUUUUCUGUUCUUUAUAGACAAGCUGUUAUGGUAAUGGGUAGAAAUUGGUUUCUUGUCCAGUGAUGACCUGAUUUACAUAAAUAAUAAUACGAAUUU
Podarcis lilfordi (Lilford's wall lizard) is the source of this 6244-nucleotide non-coding RNA. The record is from the annotation of a GenBank genome assembly. NCBI's taxonomy places the organism in Eukaryota, Metazoa, Chordata, Lepidosauria, Squamata, Lacertidae.